AACGCUAGCUACAGGCUUAACACAUGCAAGUCGAGGGGCAUCAGGAAGAAAGCUUGCUUUCUUUGCUGGCGACCGGCGCACGGGUGAGUAACACGUAUCCAACCUGCCCUUUACUCGGGGAUAGCCUUUCGAAAGAAAGAUUAAUACCCGAUGGCAUAAUGAUUCCGCAUGGUUUCAUUAUUAAAGGAUUCCGGUAAAGGAUGGGGAUGCGUUCCAUUAGGUUGUUGGUGAGGUAACGGCUCACCAAGCCUUCGAUGGAUAGGGGUUCUGAGAGGAAGGUCCCCCACAUUGGAACUGAGACACGGUCCAAACUCCUACGGGAGGCAGCAGUGAGGAAUAUUGGUCAAUGGGCGCUAGCCUGAACCAGCCAAGUAGCGUGAAGGAUGAAGGCUCUAUGGGUCGUAAACUUCUUUUAUAUAAGAAUAAAGUGCAGUAUGUAUACUGUUUUGUAUGUAUUAUAUGAAUAAGGAUCGGCUAACUCCGUGCCAGCAGCCGCGGUAAUACGGAGGAUCCGAGCGUUAUCCGGAUUUAUUGGGUUUAAAGGGAGCGUAGGUGGACUGGUAAGUCAGUUGUGAAAGUUUGCGGCUCAACCGUAAAAUUGCAGUUGAUACUGUCAGUCUUGAGUACAGUAGAGGUGGGCGGAAUUCGUGGUGUAGCGGUGAAAUGCUUUAGAUAUCACGAAGAACUCCGAUUGCGAAGGCAGCUCACUGGACUGCAACUGACACUGAUGCUCGAAAGUGUGGGUAUCAAACAGGAUUAGAUACCCUGGUAGUCCACACAGUAAACGAUGAAUACUCGCUGUUUGCGAUAUACAGUAAGCGGCCAAGCGAAAGCAUUAAGUAUUCCACCUGGGGAGUACGCCGGCAACGGUGAAACUCAAAGGAAUUGACGGGGGCCCGCACAAGCGGAGGAACAUGUGGUUUAAUUCGAUGAUACGCGAGGAACCUUACCCGGGCUUAAAUUGCAGUGGAAUGAUGUGGAAACAUGUCAGUGAGCAAUCACCGCUGUGAAGGUGCUGCAUGGUUGUCGUCAGCUCGUGCCGUGAGGUGUCGGCUUAAGUGCCAUAACGAGCGCAACCCUUAUCUUUAGUUACUAACAGGUUAUGCUGAGGACUCUAGAGAGACUGCCGUCGUAAGAUGUGAGGAAGGUGGGGAUGACGUCAAAUCAGCACGGCCCUUACGUCCGGGGCUACACACGUGUUACAAUGGGGGGUACAGAAGGCAGCUAGCGGGUGACCGUAUGCUAAUCCCAAAAGCCUCUCUCAGUUCGGAUCGAAGUCUGCAACCCGACUUCGUGAAGCUGGAUUCGCUAGUAAUCGCGCAUCAGCCACGGCGCGGUGAAUACGUUCCCGGGCCUUGUACACACCGCCCGUCAAGCCAUGGGAGCCGGGGGUACCUGAAGUACGUAACCGCAAGGAUCGUCCUAGGGUAAAACUGGUGACUGGGG
Molecule: ribosomal RNA, 1446 nt
Filed under: uncultured organism
Description: SSU rRNA
Rfam family: Bacterial small subunit ribosomal RNA
Source: RNAcentral